RNAcentral lists this non-coding RNA (21 nucleotides) under Arabidopsis thaliana (thale cress). Lineage: Eukaryota; Viridiplantae; Streptophyta; Magnoliopsida; Brassicales; Brassicaceae. The record is from RNAcentral.
GAAGGAGAAUAUGCCUUUGAC